This 323-nucleotide ribosomal RNA is filed under the name uncultured eukaryote. Its description in RNAcentral is "partial 18S ribosomal RNA". It matches the Rfam family "Eukaryotic small subunit ribosomal RNA", at positions 1470 to 1796 of the family's 1831-position model. The record is from RNAcentral.
CCCUUAGAUGUUCUGGGCUGCACGCGUGCUACACUGAUAUUGCCAAUAUGUCAUUCUUAUCCGAAAUGGAUUGGGUAAUCAAGUAAUGAAAUUUCAUGCUUGGAAUCGGUAAUUGCAAUUUUAUCGUGAACGAGGAAUUCCUAGUAAGCACUAGUCAUCAGCUAAUGUUGAUUAUGUCCCUGCCCUUUGUACACACUGCCCGUCGCUACUACUGAUUGGGUGUUCAAGUGAGAUGCUUAGACCCUUGUUGCAUGGUUCAUUAUUGUGCUCCGAAAGGAAAAAGUUUCAAGCUUGAGUGUCUAGAGGAAGUAAAAGUCGUAACA